Phalacrocorax carbo (great cormorant) is the source of this 980-nucleotide non-coding RNA. The record is from RefSeq and is a predicted model, not a curated record. Lineage: Eukaryota; Metazoa; Chordata; Aves; Suliformes; Phalacrocoracidae.
CCCGCGACCGCGGCACGUCAUCCCUCCUUCGGCCACGGGUGAGGCCGGGGAGCCCGCCGUGAGAGGCUCGUACACACUCCCACCCCCGGUGCCUGCCAGGAGUUCCUGACAGAGGGGCUGAUGCAAACUGCAAUUCGGGCAUCACGGUUGUUAGCCAGAAACUGUAUUCAUUAGCAAAAAACUGACAUGUUCCCCGCUGACCCUGGCAUUCAAUGAAUGGUGCUGAUCUGAAGUCUUCUAGGCAACUUCCAGGUGACAUAAGGGAUUGUCCGCCACCCUGAUCACCAGAUCCAGUGUGCUGGAAAGAACAAUGAAAGAACUUGAUAACUGUGCAUGAAAAAUAGAGAGUGGCGUCAUUGGCAAAGGAGCAGCACUUGACAACCAGUAAGACUUAUCAUUUCGACUGGCAUAGUAACAAACUUGGUUGAUGUUACAGUAAGCAAAGGGCAUGGUAUUAAAUACAGGAAGACAAGAUCCUGCCAGACCUGAAAAUAAUAACAAAUGCUGAAAGUUAUUCUGCUUCUUUCUAGGUACAGCAGACUAUAGCCAGUCCAUAAUUUUGGCAUCCCCUGUGGACAGGGUGGUUCUCUGUCUGACUGGCUGUGAAGGACAAGCAAGAAUCCACUUGCAGAUCUAACACGGGGGCCUGGUGGUCCUGGGAUACCAGUCUGGCCAGGUGGACCUUAGACACAGGAGAAAGGUGUUAAUUGAUGGCUUCUCAGGCUGUGGCCUAAUCAAUGGAGAUUGAAGACUGUUCUGUCUAUACAAUGUCUUGUCUCAAGUUUGUUAAUGAUGCCCCCAACAGAAACAAUACACACAUCGGGCCCCAGUCUGUUACAUUGUCAACAGCCCAACUGGAAACAACACUGACCUUUUGCUACUAGGCAACAUUCAAUAGCUGAGCUCCAGGAGGUCCAACUAACAGUGGUGACCCAGGUGGCCCAGGAAGUCCAACAUCGCCCUGUGGAAGCCAAAGCAAC